CAAGUUCUUUCACAUGACGAAGCGCCAGUGCAACGAAAGUCUGGACAUGUACAUCCAGUUCCUCGCAGGAACAACCAAAUUUGAACAGUUCCUGAAGGUUGCAGAGCAAGUUGGAAUCGACCAGAACAACAUUCCAUAUCUUGCUCAGGCCCCCAAAAGUUUACUUGAAGCACUAAAACAGCACUUAGCUUCAUUGGACGAGAAAAAUGAAGUUUUUCCUCCUUGCAGGU
Long non-coding RNA from Myotis daubentonii (Daubenton's bat), 230 nucleotides. RefSeq lists it as uncharacterized. The record is from RefSeq and is a predicted model, not a curated record. Lineage: Eukaryota; Metazoa; Chordata; Mammalia; Chiroptera; Vespertilionidae.